GUCCCUGUAGCUUAAUCCAAAGCAUGACACUGAAGAUGUCAAGAUGGAUACCAACACCCAAGGACA
Molecule: transfer RNA, 66 nt
Filed under: Prioniturus luconensis
Lineage: Eukaryota; Metazoa; Chordata; Aves; Psittaciformes; Psittacidae
Description: tRNA-Phe
Rfam family: tRNA
About the family: Transfer RNA (tRNA) molecules are approximately 80 nucleotides in length. Their secondary structure includes four short double-helical elements and three loops (D, anti-codon, and T loops).
Source: RNAcentral